AUAUUACUAAGCGGAGGAAAAGAAACCAACAGGGAUUGCCUCAGUAACGGCGAGUGAAGCGGCAUCAGCUCAGAUUUGAAAGGCGGCAGCAGCCUCCAUUGUAAUCUGCAGAGGAACGUUUGGCUUUGGUAUGGGUCCAAGUCUUCUGGAAUGUAGCGCCUUAGAGGGUGAGAGCCCCGUAUACG
This 185-nucleotide ribosomal RNA is filed under the name uncultured eukaryote. RNAcentral describes it as "partial large subunit ribosomal RNA". It matches the Rfam family "Eukaryotic large subunit ribosomal RNA", at positions 40 to 227 of the family's 3401-position model. The record is from RNAcentral.